This is a long non-coding RNA of Solanum pennellii, 695 nucleotides long. RefSeq lists it as uncharacterized. The transcript has 2 exons. The record is from RefSeq and is a predicted model, not a curated record. Lineage: Eukaryota; Viridiplantae; Streptophyta; Magnoliopsida; Solanales; Solanaceae.
UUUGGAGGUCUCACAGUUUUAACAUCUAUGCUUUAACAACAAACAGUUGUAUCUGAAUUUAUGAUUUUCUUCUUCGUAUUUGGAUUUCCAAAAUCACUCUGACCUAUAUACUUUGUGUGUCGAUGGAUAAAAAAGCCAUCUCUCUAGCGUUGUCCUCACAAGAAAAGGCACGCCAAUGCAUUAUUAAUAAUAGGUUAUAUAGUAUAUAUAAACAACUCUCAUCAGACAAAAAAGAAGCACUUUAUCUACAACAUCGGACAACAUAUCAACAAUUGAUCAGCACCAAAAUUCUCCUUGGUGGUUCUCUUACUCCACUACCUAAUGCUCAGCUUCAAUUCACUGUACAGAAAAGUGUUACUGUUAGAGACAUAUCGCCUCACCCUGAAACAAGUUUGCUAAAUAUACUGCAUAACUGCAUGAAGUUUUAUCUUUGACUUAAGUGUAGUUCUGAUUUGCUGAUGGUUAUUACACCGUUGUUCGUGCUCUAGGCAACACCUCUUGCAUUGAUACUUCUACAGUUGUAUUUGGCAAAGGAAAAGAUAUAAUUGGUUGACUAUCCAUCUUUGAAGUAACGACCGGGGAGCGGCUUCCCUACUAGAAGGACUCAUCUCAAGACACAUCACGACCUAUAUAUAACUUUUUCUUCAUUCUUCUUCUUCUUGUCUUUUUAAAAAAUAAAACAAAAUUUGAAUUCA